CCUACGGGUGGCUGCAGUGGGGGAUAUUGCACAAUGGGGGGAACUCUGAUGCAGCGACGCCGCGUGAGCGAAGAAGUCCCUCGGUAUGUUAAGCUCUAUCAGCAGGGAAGAAAAUGACGGUACCUGACUAAGAAGCCCCGGCUAAAUACGAUACAGCAGCCGCGGUAAUACGUAUGGGGCCAGCGUUAUCCGGAUUUAGUGGGUGUAAAGGGAGCGCAGGCGGCCGGUCAAGUCUGGUGUGAAACCCCGGGGCCCAACCCCGGGCCUGCAUUGGAAACUGGCGGGCUGGAGUGUCGGUGGGGUAGGCGGAAUUCCUGGUGUAGCGGUGAAAUGCGUAGAUAUUAGGAGGAACACCGGUGGCGAAGGCGGCCUACUGGACGAUGACUGACGCUGAGGCUCGAAAGCGUGGGGAGCGAACAGGAUUAGAUACCCGAGUAGUC
Molecule: ribosomal RNA, 440 nt
Filed under: uncultured bacterium
Lineage: Bacteria
Description: partial 16S ribosomal RNA
Rfam family: Bacterial small subunit ribosomal RNA
Source: RNAcentral